RNAcentral lists this ribosomal RNA (459 nucleotides) under uncultured bacterium. RNAcentral's name for it is "partial 16S ribosomal RNA". It matches the Rfam family "Bacterial small subunit ribosomal RNA", at positions 338 to 795 of the family's 1533-position model. The record is from RNAcentral.
CCUACGGGAGGCAGCAGUGAGGAAUAUUGGUCAAUGGGCGAGAGCCUGAACCAGCCAAGUCGCGUGAGGGAAGACGGUCCUAUGGAUUGUAAACCUCUUUUGCCGGGGAGCAAAAAGCGGUACGUGUACCGCAUCGAGAGUACCCGGAGAAAAAGCAUCGGCUAACUCGGUGCAAGCAGCCGCGGUAAUACGGAGGAUGCGAGGUUUAUCCGGAUUUAUGGGGUUUAAGGGGUGCGCAGGGGGCGGGUUAAGUAAGCGGUAAAAUUUCGGGGCUCAACCCCGACAAGCCGUUGAAACUGGCUUGCUAGAGUGGGCGAGAAGUAUGCGGAAUGCGUGGUGUAGCGGUGAAAUGCAUAGAUAUCACGCAGAACUCCGAUUGCGAAGGCAGCAUACCGGCGCCCAACUGACGCUCAGGCACGAAAGCGUGGGUAUCGAACAGGAUUAGAUACCCGAGUAGUC